GAAGUCACCUGGAUGAUCGCGGAUGCAAGGGCUGAAAGGCCGCACCUGAGGAAAGUCCGGGCUCCAUAGAGCAGGGUGCUGGGUAACGCCCAGUCAGGGUAACCUGAAGGAAAGUGCAACAGAGAGAUACCGCCCGGCAUAUAACUGAAUUUAAAGUUGUUUACAGGACCAAGAUUUUGGUGGAGAUAAGCAAAGUUAAGCUCAGUUAUGUGCCGGGUAAGGCUGGAAAGGCGAGGUAAGAGCUCACCAGCGGUUAGGUGACUAGCCGGCUAUGUAAACCCCACUUGGAGCAAGACCGAAUAGAGGAACAAUGGAACUGCUCGUUCCGUUCCCGGGUAAGGUCGCGUGAGGCGUCAGGUAACUGACGUCCAAGAUAGAUGAUCAUCUCCCUCGCAAGAGGUGACAGAACCCGGCUUAUAGGGUGACUUCGUUA
This 433-nucleotide RNase P RNA is filed under the name Peptococcaceae bacterium. RNAcentral's name for it is "RNase P RNA component class A". It matches the Rfam family "Bacterial RNase P class A". From Rfam's summary of the family: Ribonuclease P (RNase P) is a ubiquitous endoribonuclease, found in archaea, bacteria and eukarya as well as chloroplasts and mitochondria. Its best characterised activity is the generation of mature 5'-ends of tRNAs by cleaving the 5'-leader elements of precursor-tRNAs. Cellular RNase Ps are ribonucleoproteins. Lineage: Bacteria; Bacillati; Bacillota; Clostridia; Eubacteriales; Peptococcaceae. The record is from RNAcentral.